CAAAAGGAAAGACACAUAUUAGGGCAAGUCUUAUUGGCUCUUUCACCAGAACAAUGCAGCACAUCUUUGCACUGGUGUCUCUUCUUAUCACCACAAGGUCCACCUUUGGAGUAAAUAUUCACCAAAGUCCACCAAUUUCAUUAAUACCCAUAACCAAAUCUGUGAUCCUGAACUGUCAACAUGAUGAUAAGGAGCAUUACUACCUGUUCUGGUACAAACAGAACAAUAGAGAGCUGAACAUGAUUGGUUAUUCUUCAGGUGAAGAUUCAUUUGGACUGAACAUUGUUCAGAUUACGUCAGAUGUAUUAACAAGGAACAAUUCUGAAACACUACACUGUGGGACUGAUGAUGAAAGCUAUUUGUACAUGUUUUGGUACAGACAGGGUAGUAACAAAGACCUGAGUCUUGUUGCCUUCUCCAGGAAUAAGGGAACUACGGAAAUAGUAGCUCCGUUUGAUAAGCAAAAAUAUGCCUUUAACCGUCCAGUGGUGAAGACAGGCUCUCUACAGAUCCACAGUCUGGAGGCUGAGGACUCAGCAGUAUAUUACUGUGCUUCCAGUAUGGCACAGUCACGCAGAUCAGUUCCUCUGAGGAGCAAUAACUUCAGUCUGAAGUAGGAGAUGGAAAAUCAUGCUUGGAAAAUAUAUGUUUAUUUGUAUACUCUUUCCUAAGACAUUAAGACAUUAAAAUAGUAAUGAGAAAAUACAGGUAAUAUCUGACUAUUUUCUUUGUACUUUUGAUCAUAAUUCUACAAGG
Alosa sapidissima (American shad) is the source of this 756-nucleotide non-coding RNA. NCBI's taxonomy places the organism in Eukaryota, Metazoa, Chordata, Actinopteri, Clupeiformes, Clupeidae. The record is from the annotation of a RefSeq genome assembly.